This 412-nucleotide long non-coding RNA is filed under the name Citrus x clementina. Its description in RNAcentral is "Citrus clementina (C. clementina) long non-coding RNA (CCLE_LNC006905)". Lineage: Eukaryota; Viridiplantae; Streptophyta; Magnoliopsida; Sapindales; Rutaceae. The record is from RNAcentral.
AUGUAAUUUAAAAUUUUAUUUGAAAAACCAAAAAGGAAGCAAAGUUGCCACUGUUGCCGUAUUGUAUCAUCUCAUUUAAACUUGAGAAUUAUAUGAAAAUGAUCAGAAAUUCACAAUCCAUAAAUCAAAUCAACUUAUUUUGAUGAAGUGCUUGAUGUUUGUCUGGAUCUAGGAAGGUUAAAAAGUUUUUAAACUUUUUAACUGAAUUUGAAGAAAAUAAAUCUAUUUUUUGGUCUCUAUGACAAUUUAAUGGCAUUGCUCGUUGGCCGGUGGGUCCAACGGUACCAACGGUGAUGUCCCACGUGCUAGCAUCAACGGCGGCAGUCCGAUGGCAGUAGCAACGACUUUCUGACGACUGUUAAAUUUAUAUUUUUUAUUUUUACAAAUUAAUUAAUUAAAUAAAGUGAUUUUA